UUAUGAAUUUAUGUUCCUUUCCCAAGUAACAUAAAUUGAAUUGGGUCUCUAGACCUGCCUUCUCUGAUGCCAUUUGGCUUUGAUUUGGAGGCAUGGUUCCGCAGCAAAGGG
This is a small nucleolar RNA of Rhododendron vialii, 111 nucleotides long. RefSeq annotates it as small nucleolar RNA snoR100. The record is from RefSeq and is a predicted model, not a curated record. The transcript has a single exon. Lineage: Eukaryota; Viridiplantae; Streptophyta; Magnoliopsida; Ericales; Ericaceae.